AGUGAACGCUGGCGGUAGGCCUAACACAUGCAAGUCGAACGGCAGCACAGUAAGAGCUUGCUCUUACGGGUGGCGAGUGGCGGACGGGUGAGGAAUACAUCGUAAUCUACUUUUUCGUGGGGGUUAACGUAGGGAAACUUACGCUAAUACCGCAUACGACCUACGGGUGAAAGCAGGGGAUAUUCGGACCUUGCGCGAUUGAAUGAGCGGAUGUCGGAUUAGCUAGUUGGCGGGGUAAAGGCCCACCAAGGCGAGGAUCCGUAGCUGGUCUGAGAGGAUGGUCAGCCACACUGGAACUGAGACACGGUCCAGACUCCUACGGGAGGGAGCAGUGGGGAAUAUUGGACAAUGGGGGCAAGCCUGAUCCAGCCAUACCGCGUGGGUGAAGAAGGCCUUCGGGUUGUAAAGCCCUUUUGUUGGGAAAGAAAAGCAGCAGGUUAAUACCCCGCUGUUCUGACGGUACCCAAAGAAUAAGCACCGGCUAACUUCGUG
This 492-nucleotide ribosomal RNA is filed under the name uncultured bacterium. RNAcentral's name for it is "partial 16S ribosomal RNA". It matches the Rfam family "Bacterial small subunit ribosomal RNA", at positions 29 to 507 of the family's 1533-position model. The record is from RNAcentral.